Molecule: small nuclear RNA, 293 nt
Filed under: Oryctolagus cuniculus (rabbit)
Lineage: Eukaryota; Metazoa; Chordata; Mammalia; Lagomorpha; Leporidae
Description: 7SK RNA
Rfam family: 7SK RNA
About the family: 7SK was discovered as an abundant small nuclear RNA in the mid-70s but a possible function has only recently been suggested. Two independent studies have found that 7SK RNA binds the CDK9/cyclin T complex (known as elongation factor P-TEFb).
Source: Rfam by way of RNAcentral
GGAUGUGAGGGCGAUCUGGCUGCGACAUCUGUCACCCCAUUGAUCGCUAGGGUUGAUCGGCUGAUCUGGCUGGCUAGGCGGGUGUCCCCUUCCUCCCUCACUGCUCCAUGUGCGUCCCUCCUGAAGCUGCGCGCUUGAUUGAAGAGGACGACCUUCCCCACUGGAGGAGGACUGGUCUUCGGUCAAGGGCAUACAAGUAGCUGAGCUCCCCUGCUAGAACCUCCAAGAAGCUCUCAAGGUCCAUUCGCAGAAGCAGCUCCUGGCUUCAGCCUGGCCGAGCUCCGGCCAUUGUG